AAAAAAAAAAGGAAAACACUUAUCUUCUUCAAGGUUGCCGUCACUCACCUCUCUCUCCCUCACCCUCACUUUCCUCCACUAAAGCUCAUUUUGAGCUUGAAGAACCACUUGAUCUAGCCAUAAAUCCCAUAGUUCUCUUAAUUAAACUUGGUCUUUUAGUCUUGAAAAGAAGCUUGAGCAAGAAAGAAAGAAGAAUAGAAGAAGGUAAUUGAAGUUUUGGAAAUCCAAAGUAAGGUUAGUAAGCAAACUUAACACUUUUAGUUUGAUUCUUACAUUUUUAACUUAUUGAACUUGGAAAUAAACUUUAAAUGAAAAAAUUUUUUUGUUGAGGGAUCAUAUGUAGAUUCGGCCAGCUUGAUAGGGUGUUGGAUUUGAUAGUAUUUAGUUAAACUAAACAUGAAUUAGAGCUUAAAUAAGGUUGAAUAUGUGAUUAGUGUAAUGAUUUGAUUAAGGAAUUGAUCAAUGGCAUGAACUAGGGUUUUGGCAUCUAGGUUUUGGAGACAAAAAUGUGGGAAUGUGUUAAAUGGUGUGUUGGACUUGGUUUGAGGUGAGAAAUGGUCAUUUUUGACCAAAUGAAGUGUGUUGGAAG
This 589-nucleotide unclassified non-coding RNA is filed under the name Hevea brasiliensis (rubber tree). The record is from RNAcentral. Lineage: Eukaryota; Viridiplantae; Streptophyta; Magnoliopsida; Malpighiales; Euphorbiaceae.